AUCACAUCCCGCCAAGUGCUGCAGGUUAAAUGAGGGCGCUCCAAUUAUUAAUUGACCUACAGACACUAAAGAUAAUGUAAUUCUGGUGUUGUUGUCUGUUGUCAAUGAAUAUCUCGACACUUUGGUAAAUACUGGGAAACAGUGGAUUGCGUAAUCACACGUGAAAUAGUAUGGUAAUGAAUGGGAAUUUCGCAUGGUCAUGGCCUACAAAGUACAAAUGUAAUUGAAUAACCCGAGUAAACUGUCUGGAAUGGAAAUUCUUUAUAUUAAAAUUUUUAAUAAAUUAAAUGGAACUGAUGGGUACAUUUACUCACGGUUUCUGGGGUGAAACGUU
This is a long non-coding RNA of Fopius arisanus, 334 nucleotides long. RefSeq lists it as uncharacterized. Lineage: Eukaryota; Metazoa; Arthropoda; Insecta; Hymenoptera; Braconidae. The record is from RefSeq and is a predicted model, not a curated record. The transcript has 2 exons.